RNAcentral lists this unclassified non-coding RNA (539 nucleotides) under Hevea brasiliensis (rubber tree). Lineage: Eukaryota; Viridiplantae; Streptophyta; Magnoliopsida; Malpighiales; Euphorbiaceae. The record is from RNAcentral.
AAGGAACUUUUACCUAGGCGUGUAGUUUCCCUUGAUGGCAUAUGUAUUAAAGAAGUUGCCUGUGGUGGUGUUCACACCUGUGCUGUGACUGCGAAAGGGGCUCUUUAUGCUUGGGGUGGAGGUCAGGCUGGGCAAUUGGGAGUUGGGCCAUUAAAUGGAUUCUUUUCAUGCAAGCUCAAUGAAUCUGAGAUGAUGCUCCGAAAUAUACCAGUGUUGGUUGUUCCAGAUGGUGUGCAACUCGUUGCAUGUGGUCAUUCACACACACUUACUUCUGCUAAAGACGGACGAAUACAUGGAUGGGGUUAUAACUGCUAUGGUCAAGCGGCUAAUGAGAAGUCUACAUAUGCCUGGUGUCCAUCACCAGUUGAUUGGUGUGUUGGGGCAGUCCGAAAAUUGGCUGCUGGUGGUGGACAUUCAGCAGUGCUGACUGAUGCAUGCUCUCUAAAAGAGCUGUGUGAAUUUAGGCUUGCAGAAACAGUGAAUCCAUCCAAUGCUUCAGUGGUUGAGGAUGUCGCCUCAAGAACAGGAGCUGAUGCUUU